RNAcentral lists this RNase P RNA (322 nucleotides) under uncultured Ruminiclostridium sp. RNAcentral's name for it is "Bacterial RNase P class A". It matches the Rfam family "Bacterial RNase P class A". From Rfam's summary of the family: Ribonuclease P (RNase P) is a ubiquitous endoribonuclease, found in archaea, bacteria and eukarya as well as chloroplasts and mitochondria. Its best characterised activity is the generation of mature 5'-ends of tRNAs by cleaving the 5'-leader elements of precursor-tRNAs. The record is from RNAcentral. Lineage: Bacteria; Bacillati; Bacillota; Clostridia; Eubacteriales; Oscillospiraceae.
GGUGGACGCGGGAAGCAAUUCCUGAGGAAAGUCCGAGCAUCAUAGAGCAGGGUAGCUGUUAACUACAGCCGAGGGCGACCUUAGGGCUAGUGCAACAGAAAUAUACCGCCUGUUUUACAGGUAAGGAUGGAAAGGCGAGGUAAGAGCUCACCGGAGUGGUAGAGAUGCCGCUGCCAUGUAAACCCUAUCCGAUGCAACGCCGAUUGGUUCGGAGGAUAACGCUUCUGCUCGAAGCGCUUCGUUUAAGGCGGCUAGAGCUUAUCGGCGACGAUAAGACCAGAUAGAUGUUCACCCAACGACAGAACUCGGCUUAUCGAUUUAG